CAACCCUUGUCCUUAGUUACCAGCACGUUAUGUGGGCGACUCUAAGGAGGACUGCCGGUGACAAACCGGAGGAAGGUGGGGAUGACGUCAAGUCAUCAUGGCCCUUACGGCCUGGGCUACACACGUGCUACAAUGGUCGGUACAAAGGGUUGCCAAGCCGCGAGGUGGAGCUAAUCCCAUAAAACCGAUCGUAGUCCGGAUCGCAGUCUGCAACUCGACUGCGUGAAGUCGGAAUCGCUAGUAAUCGUGAAUCAGAAUGUCACGGUGAAUACGUUCCCGGGCCUU
This 285-nucleotide ribosomal RNA is filed under the name uncultured Pseudomonas sp. RNAcentral's name for it is "partial 16S ribosomal RNA". It matches the Rfam family "Bacterial small subunit ribosomal RNA", at positions 1099 to 1382 of the family's 1533-position model. The record is from RNAcentral. Lineage: Bacteria; Pseudomonadati; Pseudomonadota; Gammaproteobacteria; Pseudomonadales; Pseudomonadaceae.